RNAcentral lists this long non-coding RNA (425 nucleotides) under Homo sapiens (human). RNAcentral's name for it is "non-protein coding lnc-ABHD12B-4:2". The record is from RNAcentral. Lineage: Eukaryota; Metazoa; Chordata; Mammalia; Primates; Hominidae.
ACUCCCACCGCGUCCCGGCCCCUGCCCCAGGCCGGAGGGCAGAGGAAGUGCCCGGCCCCUCCCGAGGCUCUGGGGCCGCAGUGGGCUCGGGGGUGGGAGACGAGGUCCAAGCGCCGGCGAGACCCCUGCCAGCCCGGGACCUGGGCUCGGAGGCUCCCUUCCGGAUUUCCAAAAUCUGCGGAGGCAGCAUUUGUUCCGCCUCUCCCCUCUAGAGUGUGGAGACAGGAGGACGUCUGUGUAGGGAAGCACGUCGUUGGCAGACUGCUGUUUUGCCGAUGUUUAUUUGUUAUGCCAUUAUGACUGUUAGGAUUUCUCACCUGGAGUGGCUUCCGCCAUAAGCGCCGGGAUCUGGAAGGACGGCACGUUUGACUUCUGUUGUCCCAACCUCACUUGCCAGCCCUUGGCACCGCCCCAGCUUGGAUCCU